RNAcentral lists this unclassified non-coding RNA (366 nucleotides) under soil metagenome. Its description in RNAcentral is "partial contains 5.8S ribosomal RNA, internal transcribed spacer 2, and large subunit ribosomal RNA". The stretch from base 1 to 120 matches the Rfam family "5.8S ribosomal RNA", at positions 35 to 154 of the family's 154-position model. The record is from RNAcentral.
GAUGAAGAACGUAGCGAAAUGCGAUAACUAAUGUGAAUUGCAGAAUUCCGUGAAUCAUCGAGUCUUUGAACGCACAUUGCGCCCCCUGGUAUUCCGGGGGACAUGCCUGUCCGAGCGUCAUUACAACCCUCAAGCCCGGCUUGUGUAAUGGGCGGCCGUCUCUCCCCCCGGGGGGAGACGCCCCCGAAACUCAGUGGGGAUGUCGCGAUACCGAAGCCUCAGCUAAUGGGUAAACCACAGCUGCAAUGGCCGCGGCCGGCGUCCGCCUUCCACGGUCCGUCCGCCUAGCGCGGGCGGCCUUCUCAAGGUUGACCUCGGAUCAGGUAGGGAUACCCGCUGAACUUAAGCAUAUCAAUAAGCGGAGGA